CGUCGCGACGCCGAUCGUCCCGACACGAAUCGGCGGCGUCCGAGCCGAGCCGAGGAUCCUCGGCGUUACAUCCGAUCGCAGAAAAGAAAGAGGAGGAGGAGAAGGAGGAGGAUGUGAUUGUUCGUGAUCGAUCGAGAUUCGUCCCUCUGUCUUAUGUGUGGUUGCGGCCGAAGAGACGAUGCGACGUGGUGGCAAGUAGACGGACGGCUAUUUCCGCAUGACAUCACAUCGCCCGCAUUUGGAGAGAGGGCACCACGAUUUUCUAUUUUCUCAACGGCUCGACAUUGGUGGCCUGAGCAUGCAAGACGUCACCGCAGAGGGUGCAAUAGGCAUCGCUAUCACACCUUUGUAAGUCGAAUCGUACCACUGAUUAUAAAAGUCCGUGGUAUCGU
Long non-coding RNA from Pseudomyrmex gracilis, 392 nucleotides. RefSeq lists it as uncharacterized. The record is from RefSeq and is a predicted model, not a curated record. Lineage: Eukaryota; Metazoa; Arthropoda; Insecta; Hymenoptera; Formicidae. The transcript has 3 exons.